Pleuronectes platessa (European plaice) is the source of this 987-nucleotide long non-coding RNA. RefSeq lists it as uncharacterized. NCBI's taxonomy places the organism in Eukaryota, Metazoa, Chordata, Actinopteri, Pleuronectiformes, Pleuronectidae. The transcript is spliced from 5 exons. The record is from RefSeq and is a predicted model, not a curated record.
GACCGAGUGCGCGAGCGGACAUGACGUGUGGCUGUCGUAAAAACCCUAUUUGUAAACAACCAGCCCUUUAACUCGGGGCUGCGUCAUAAACACGGCGCGCUUGGAAGACCACGAUGUCAUCUUCCUUCUGUCAGGAGGAUCCAAGUGAAGCUACAGGAGUUUCAUUAACGUCAACAACUUGGACCGAACGGUUUGUUUUGCUUGAUGAAGAGCAGGAAGGGCAGCCUGGAGAGAAAGAGAAGCCGGGUUGAGCCCACUACCAUCAUCCACGUACCACGAGGAAGAUGAGGGAGAGAAAUGAUCCUACCAUUAAAGAGACUGUGAAAAGAACGUUGAGAACAUCACCACUCUACAGGAAGACACAGUCCAGUAAUGGGUGUCAGAAGUUCAGUAGUGAACGACAGGUACUGUGGAAAAAUAUGUGUCAUUGUUGUACAAUGUCCUUUGACUCUGUUUAAACAAGGUUAACACAAAAAGGUUUGAUUGUAAACUGAUAUCGGUAUGAAUUCAUGUUAUUCUCCUCGUCAAAAGAAACAAACAAUCCAAAUUACCUGCAGAAAGCCCUUGAUGGACGCUUCAGCUGCAUCGUCAGACUGGCAGUACUGAUGCAUUUACUGAGAGGGGACGUGAGGGCCUACUCUGCGUGCUCAGAGUUCAAGCCCAGCAGGCUGCAGCGGGCCUGACAUAUUCUGGAACAGCAGCACAGUCUUUGGAUGACUCCUCUGAAGAUGAAAACAUGGCGAGUUCUUCUCAAGAGAAGCGGUACAGGUGUGCCUCAGCUCCACGGUCCCUCCUGCAGCCUCCGCUCCUGAUGCUAACCUCAUGUCUCCAUCACACCAAGCAGCAGACCUGGAUUGACAGACCUUUCUCCAGAGCUGCCCCCUCCCUCUGAAACCCCCCUCUCCAAAACACUAUUUGUGUAGUUUUUAAAGUAUUUUUUGCAUGAGAAUUGUUGAUCAUAACAUUUCCAGCAGAUGCCUUAAUAUA